CCUACGGGAGGCAGCAGUGGGGAAUUUUCCGCAAUGGGCGAAAGCCUGACGGAGCAAUACCGCGUGAGGGAAGACUGCCUAUGGGUUGUAAACCUCUUUUUUCAGGGAGGAAUAAAAUGACGUGUACCUGAAGAAUAAGCAUCGGCUAACUCCGUGCCAGCAGCCGCGGUAAGACGGAGGAUGCAAGUGUUAUCCGGAAUCACUGGGCGUAAAGCGUCUGUAGGUGGUUUAAUAAGUCAACUGUUAAAUCUUGAGGCUCAACUUCAAAACCGCAGUCGAAACUAUUAGACUAGAGUAUAGUAGAGGUAAAGGGAAUUUCCAGUGGAGCGGUGAAAUGCGUAGAUAUUGGAAAGAACACCGAUGGCGAAAGCACUUUACUGGGCUAUUACUAACACUCAGAGACGAAAGCUAGGGUAGCAAAUGGGAUUAGAUACCCCAGUAGUCCUAGCCGUAAACUAUGGAUACUAGAUGUUGAACAGAUCGACCUGUGCAGUAUCAAAGCUAACGCGUUAAGUAUCCCGCCUGGGAAGUAUGCUCGCAAGAGUGAAACUUAAGGAAUUGACGG
RNAcentral lists this ribosomal RNA (565 nucleotides) under uncultured bacterium. RNAcentral's name for it is "bacterial SSU rRNA". It matches the Rfam family "Bacterial small subunit ribosomal RNA", at positions 338 to 916 of the family's 1533-position model. The record is from RNAcentral.